AAACCAUGAAGUACAUAUUAUUCCUCGAUGUAUCAGCAGUUGCUGUCGCCUUGGUGUGGAGCGAAUCAUGACACUUAACACAACACUGCACUGCAUCAACCAAGAGUGCACCAACACGCAUGCAUCAUGUAUUCAGGUUACUUCCGGUCAAGUCUUUUGUUCGUAUGAAGGCCACUGGCCCAUAUACAGCCCUGGUUGAUGCCGAGGGAUGCCAAGGCCAUGAUACCGGCACCUGCAGGCAUGAAAGCUGCGACGCCCUCUCGACCUUGACUUGUGUGAGGGGAACCUGCACGUGCCUGGUGUCCAGCUGUGUAACCCA
Long non-coding RNA from Haliotis rufescens (red abalone), 319 nucleotides. RefSeq lists it as uncharacterized. The record is from RefSeq and is a predicted model, not a curated record. The transcript has 4 exons. NCBI's taxonomy places the organism in Eukaryota, Metazoa, Mollusca, Gastropoda, Lepetellida, Haliotidae.